Molecule: ribosomal RNA, 253 nt
Filed under: uncultured bacterium
Lineage: Bacteria
Also listed under: 1 other name
Description: partial 16S ribosomal RNA
Rfam family: Bacterial small subunit ribosomal RNA
Source: RNAcentral
UACAGAGGGUGCAAGCGUUAAUCGGAAUUACUGGGCGUAAAGCGCGCGUAGGUGGUUCGUUAAGUUGGAUGUGAAAGCCCCGGGCUCAACCUGGGAACUGCAUUCAAAACUGACGAGCUAGAGUAUGGUAGAGGGUGGUGGAAUUUCCUGUGUAGCGGUGAAAUGCGUAGAUAUAGGAAGGAACACCAGUGGCGAAGGCGACCACCUGGACUGAUACUGACACUGAGGUGCGAAAGCGUGGGGAGCAAACAGG